GAUGAACGCUGGCGGCGUGCUUAACACAUGCAAGUCGAACGAUGAAGCCCAGCUUGCUGGGUGGAUUAGUGGCGAACGGGUGAGUAACACGUGAGUAACCUGCCCUUGACUCUGGGAUAAGCCUGGGAAACUGGGUCUAAUACUGGAUAUGACUUCUCAUCGCAUGGUGGGGGGUGGAAAGAUUUAUUGGUCUUGGAUGGACUCGCGGCCUAUCAGCUUGUUGGUGAGGUAAUGGCUCACCAAGGCGACGACGGGUAGCCGGCCUGGGAGGGUGACCGGCCACACUGGGACUGAGACACGGCCCAGACUCCUACGGGAGGCAGCAGUGGGGAAUAUUGCACAAUGGGCGCAGGCCUGAUGCAGCGACGCCGCGUGAGGGAUGACGGCCUUCGGGUUGUAAACCUCUUUCAGUAGGGAAGAAGCGAGAGUGACGGUACCUGCAGAAGAAGCGCCGGCUAACUACGUG
RNAcentral lists this ribosomal RNA (466 nucleotides) under uncultured bacterium. RNAcentral's name for it is "partial 16S ribosomal RNA". It matches the Rfam family "Bacterial small subunit ribosomal RNA", at positions 28 to 507 of the family's 1533-position model. The record is from RNAcentral.